Non-coding RNA from Pteropus alecto (black flying fox), 78 nucleotides. The record is from Rfam. Lineage: Eukaryota; Metazoa; Chordata; Mammalia; Chiroptera; Pteropodidae.
GGCUCCAUAGUGUAAUGGUUAGUUAGCACAUCUGCUUUACAUGCAGAAGGUCCUGGGUUUGCGCCCCAGGUGGAGCCA